CCUACGGGCGGCAGCAGUGGGGGAUAUUGCACAAUGGGGGAAACCCUGAUGCAGCGACGCCGCGUGUGGGAAGACGGUCCUCUGGAUUGUAAACCACUGUCCCCAGGGACGAAGAUGACGGUACCUGGGGAGGAAGCUCCGGCAAACUACGUGCCAGAAGCCGCGGUAAUACGUAGGGAGCGAGCGUUGUCCGGAAUUACUGGGUGUAAGGGGAGCGUAGGCGGGACUGCAAGUUGGGGGUCAAAUCUACCGGCUCAACCGGUAGCCGCACUCAAAACUGCAGUUCGUGAGUGAAGUAGAGGCAGGCGGAAGUCCCGGUGUAGCGGUGAAAUGCAUAGAUAUUAGGAGGAACACCAGUGGCGAAGGCGGCCUGCUGGGCUUUUACUGACGCUGAGGCUCGAAAGUGUGGGGAGCAAACAGGAUUAGAUACCCGAGUAGUC
Molecule: ribosomal RNA, 440 nt
Filed under: uncultured bacterium
Lineage: Bacteria
Description: partial 16S ribosomal RNA
Rfam family: Bacterial small subunit ribosomal RNA
Source: RNAcentral